RNAcentral lists this ribosomal RNA (502 nucleotides) under uncultured bacterium. RNAcentral describes it as "bacterial SSU rRNA". It matches the Rfam family "Bacterial small subunit ribosomal RNA", at positions 19 to 518 of the family's 1533-position model. The record is from RNAcentral.
CUGGCUCAGGACGAACGCUGGCGGCGCGCCUAACACAUGCAAGUCGAACGGAGCUUGCACCUCUGAAGUUUCGGAUGGACGAGGUACAAGCUUAGUGGCGAACGGGUGAGUAACACGUGAAGAACCUGCCCUUCAGUGGGGGACAACAGUUGGAAACGACUGCUAAUACCGCAUAAGACCACAGUACCGCAUGGUACAGUGAUCAAAGGAUUUAUUCGCUGAAGGAUGGCUUCGCGUCCGAUUAGGUAGUUGGUGAGGUAACGGCCCACCAAGCCUACGAUCGGUAGCCGGACUGAGAGGUUGAUCGGCCACAUUGGGACUGAGACACGGCCCAGACUCCUACGGGAGGCAGCAGUGGGGAAUAUUGCACAAUGGAGGAAACUCUGAUGCAAGCGACGCCGCGUGAGGGAAGAAGGUCUUCGGAUUGUAAACCUCUGUCUUCAGGGACGAUAAUGACGGUACCUGAGGAGGAAGCACCGGCUAACUACGUGCCAGCAGCAGC